This 250-nucleotide ribosomal RNA is filed under the name uncultured prokaryote. Its description in RNAcentral is "partial 16S ribosomal RNA". It matches the Rfam family "Bacterial small subunit ribosomal RNA", at positions 524 to 773 of the family's 1533-position model. The record is from RNAcentral.
UACGUAGGGGGCGAGCGUUGUCCGGAAUGACUGGGCGUAAAGGGCGCGUAGGCGGCCGGAUAAGUUAGGAGUGAAACUCCAGUUUUCAAGAUUGGAACUGCUUUUAAUACUGUUAGGCUUGAGUGCAGAAGAGGUAAGCGGAAUUCCCAGUGUAGCGGUGAGAUGCGUAGAGAUUGGGAAGAACACCAGUGGCGAAGGCGGCUUACUGGGCUGUAACUGACGCUGAGGCGCGAAAGCGUGGGGAGCGAAC